Molecule: long non-coding RNA, 1832 nt
Filed under: Homo sapiens (human)
Lineage: Eukaryota; Metazoa; Chordata; Mammalia; Primates; Hominidae
Description: HSALNT0039532
Source: RNAcentral
UUUUAUAUUUGCAGUUAACUUUUGAACUGAGAUUACAAUAUUAUAACAAACUCCUUACUUUGUAAUCCCUGUUCCUUUUCUCUGAUCUCUCUUGUUGAAACCCAUUACCUGGAGGCUGGAUUUCCUGACCUGGUUCUUUUUAUUGUUGUUUUAAAUUUUCUCCUAUCGUUUUCUCCAAUUUUCUUGUCUUUUUGUUCCACGUUUGAGAUUUCUUCAAUUUUAUCUUCCAACUCUUCUACUGAUCUUUCAAUUUCUGCUAUCUUAUUUCAGGACCGGUUCUUUUCUCCUCUGAAUGUUCUUUUUGCAUAGCACUGUGUUACUGUUUUGUGGAUGCAACCUUUUCUUUUGUCUUUCUGAAGGCAUCACGGAUACUGUUUGCUUAUCCUUGCUCAUUUGUUUUGUGUUUUAUUCUCCCUGCCAGGCCUCUACAUCUUCCAAGGUGCUUUGGGCAUGUAUUUAUUGUGGUUUCUGUCUUCCACCGUUAGAGGUCCCCUCAGAUAUGUGCCUAUCUUUGGUUGUAUGUUCAUGAUUAAGAGUCGGGGAGAGGGACUGAAAUGCUGGCUGGGAGCUCUGAGCUUUGGAAGGGCAUGUCUACUAUGAGGUCCACUGUAGGGUAAUCUAACCCUGUCCUUAAGGAAGCCCUAGUGUCAGUAUCUUUAGAGCUUCCCCUUGGGCUGGAUAGACUCCCCAGAAGGAAAGUAGAGUCCUCUUCUCAUUUUCUAUCUAGAAUCAAGUUCACCUGCCAGAGUUCUAUCAGCUGAAAGCAGGGAGUGGACUGGGAAGUGUUCAGCACUCCACACACACACGACCACCCUGGCCUGCUACGCCCUGAUCCUGUGCCUGUAAAAACCUCCGAGACCCUAGCAGACAGGCACACAAGUGGCUGGACGUCAAGAGGAACGCAUUGGCAAAAGACACAAGCAGCUGGACGGCGAGAGGACAGCAAGGGGAGCAUGCCGGUGGAAGAGCACAUGACAGACGCUGGCAUGCCAGCAGGCCCCCGACCAGCAGAACGACGCAGUUUGGCCAGGGCAGUCAAGAGAGCUGGGGCCGCUCCAUCUCCCUUCUGGCUUCCCCCAUCUGCUGAGAGCUACUUCUACUCAGUAAAACCCUACACUCAUUCUCCAAGCCCACGUGUGAUCCCAUUCUUCCAGUACACCAAGGCAAGAACCCUGGGAUACAGAAAGCUCUCUGUCCUUGCCAUAAGGCAGGGGUCUAAUUGAGCUGGUUAAUGCAAGCCAUCUAUGGAUGGCUAAACUAAAAGAGCACUCUGUAACACAUGCCCACUGGGGUUUCAGCUGUAAACAUUCACCUCUAGACACUGCUGUAGGGUUGGAGCGACACAGCCUGCCUGUCUGUAUGCUCCCCUAGAGGUUUGAGUAGCAGGGCAAUGAAGAAGCGAGCCACUCCCACUGUUGCACGCCCUGCGAGGGGGACAAGGGAACUUUUCCCGUUUCAACAGCAACGAUUCAUGCUGAAUGAAGUUUAUAGUAUGAGUUAAGGUAACUACCUACACAAGCCCAAGAGUUACUUAUAAACUACUUUAAAAGUUCUAUGAUUGAAGUUCCAGAACUAGAGAGAAUUAAAGCAGUAUGCAACAGAUGCUUACAAACUAACACCUCACUGACUCCAGGAUUUGUUAAGAUCUUACAGUCUCAGCUGGGUAAGGCUCUACUGAAUAAUCCUGUGGUCAAGUUGUUUUGGAGGAAAUUUUAACACACCACAGAAAAUGAGAGAUGAGUUUGAUACCAGCAUUAGAUAAGAGUGCCUAUUAUGUAUACCAGUUAUAUCCAGAACCAGAGGUGUCAUUCGGCACUACCAGGUCUACUCAC